Molecule: ribosomal RNA, 510 nt
Filed under: uncultured bacterium
Lineage: Bacteria
Description: partial 16S ribosomal RNA
Rfam family: Bacterial small subunit ribosomal RNA
Source: RNAcentral
GACGAACGCUGGCGGCGUGCUUAACACAUGCAAGUCGAACGAAGAGCGAUGGAAGCUUGCUUCUCUCAAUCUUAGUGGCGAACGGGUGAGUAACGCGUAAUCAACCUGCCCUUCAGAGGGGGACAACAGUUGGAAACGACUGCUAAUACCGCAUACGAUCUGACCUCGGCAUCGAGGAUAGAUGAAAGGUGGCCUCUACAUGUAAGCUAUCACUGAAGGAGGGGAUUGCGUCUGAUUAGCUAGUUGGAGGGGUAACGGCCCACCAAGGCGAUGAUCAGUAGCCGGUCUGAGAGGAUGAACGGCCACAUUGGGACUGAGACACGGCCCAGACUCCUACGGGAGGCAGCAGUGGGGAAUCUUCCGCAAUGGACGAAAGUCUGACGGAGCAACGCCGCGUGAGUGAUGACGGCCUUCGGGUUGUAAAGCUCUGUUAAUCGGGACGAAAGGCCUUUUUGCGAAUAGGGAGAAGGAUUGACGGUACCGGAAUAGAAAGCCACGGCUAACUACGUG